This 446-nucleotide ribosomal RNA is filed under the name uncultured bacterium. RNAcentral's name for it is "partial 16S ribosomal RNA". It matches the Rfam family "Bacterial small subunit ribosomal RNA", at positions 338 to 795 of the family's 1533-position model. The record is from RNAcentral.
CCUACGGGUGGCAGCAGUCGAGAAUCAUUCACAAUGGGGGAAACCCUGAUGCUGCGACGCCGCGUGGGGGAAUGAAGGUCUUCGGAUUGUAAACCCCUGUCAUGUGGGAGCAAAUUAUAAAGAUAGUACCACAAGAGGAAGAGACGGCUAACUCUGUGCCAGCAGCCGCGGUAAUACAGAGGUCUCAAGCGUUGUUCGGAAUCACUGGGCGUAAAGGGUGCGUAGGCUGUUUCGUAAGUCGUGUGUGAAAGGCGCGGGCUCAACCCGCGGACGGCACAUGAUACUGCGAGACUAGAGUAAUGGAGGGGGAACCGGAAUUCUCGGUGUAGCAGUGAAAUGCGUAGAUAUCGAGAGGAACACUCGUGGCGAAGGCGGGUUCCUGGACAUUAACUGACGCUGAGGCACGAAGGCCAGGGGAGCGAAAGGGAUUAGAUACCCCAGUAGUC